Molecule: long non-coding RNA, 1050 nt
Organism: Cyprinus carpio (common carp)
Lineage: Eukaryota; Metazoa; Chordata; Actinopteri; Cypriniformes; Cyprinidae
Source: Ensembl
GUAUCUCACAGAUUUUGGCUUAUUUCAGCAUGCUUGCGUUAAACUGAAGUUGGAGUUGGGGAUAUACUGUAUAGUUGGGGACACACAGCAAGGGAACCUUCAAAGCAAAAGAGCCCAUCUAGGGGAAUCAAGUAAAUGAUUCAGUGACAAACUAGUUGGAAGAAACAUUUACGCGGCAGCAUUGCAAAAAAGCAACAAGAUGAACUCAAAUGGAGGAAAUCACAGCAGGAUGGGGCAAAGCGUGCAAAACUCUAGUGCCGUCGAGCACUGAAUGUCUUUGAUAUGUCCUUUAUUUGACUAUUUUCUAAUUUAUGCCAACACUGACCUUAUCAGUAACAGCUUGUAAUAAUAAGCAUAAUUAAAAAGAGCAGGGAUAACAGACUUUAAAAACCAUUAGAAAUGCACUUGAUGGUACUAAUAGUGUAAAUAUGGCAAUUAUUGAUAGUUUCACAGCGGUGGGAACCUAGGAAGAUGACAGUAUUAACCACUGAGAUGCACUUUUUGGACCGGUAGCAUUUGUUUUCCAUGAGGUGCUGCUUAUUGUGACAGAUCUGGAGAAGAUGGAAUGGAUUACAAGUACAGGACCGUUGCGAAAGAUGUGAAAGAAAAAAUAUGAACUGACUCUGAAUGCGAGAGGGAAGACUAUGUGCACAGUAUCUGUUUAACCUUGAGCAAUGGACCCCUAAAUGUGUCUGGAUUCGUUUGACUUAAGAUCUGUUAUGUCUCAGAUCUGUGUGCCUCUUGUAGUAUGAUAAGUCCACAUGCACAAGAACUGACAUGAUUCCUUGUCGGAAUCCUUCAUCAGAAUUCCGGAGUCAUUGGCUGCUAGGUAUCCAUGGCAACCACAGAGCAGAGUAAUACUACAGGGACGUGCUUGCAGGGGAGGAGGCUGAGAAGUGUGAAUUCAUUAUGUUCAACAUCACAAACUUGUAAGUCUGUUUACAUUUUACCAAGUAAAUUCUUUUAAUAAACAGUAUUGAUGCUUCUGAUAGUGUCUCUUUGCUUUUUGGUAUUACAUGAAAUAAAUGCACGCGUCAAGCAUAUUAUUCA